This 460-nucleotide ribosomal RNA is filed under the name uncultured bacterium. RNAcentral describes it as "partial 16S ribosomal RNA". It matches the Rfam family "Bacterial small subunit ribosomal RNA", at positions 338 to 795 of the family's 1533-position model. The record is from RNAcentral.
CCUACGGGAGGCAGCAGUGAGGAAUAUUGGUCAAUGGACGAGAGUCUGAACCAGCCAAGUAGCGUGAAGGAUGACUGCCCUAUGGGUUGUAAACUUCUUUUAUAUGGGAAUAAAAUGUUCCACGUGUGGGAUUUUGUAUGUACCAUAUGAAUAAGGAUCGGCUAACUCCGUGCCAGCAGCCGCGGUAAUACGGAGGAUCCGAGCGUUAUCCGGAUUUAUUGGGUUUAAAGGGAGCGUAGGUGGAUUGUUAAGUCAGUUGUGAAAGUUUGCGGCUCAACCUUAAAAUUGCAGUUGAAACUGGCAGUCGUGAGUACAGUAGAGGUGGGCGGAAUUCGUGGUGUAGCGGUGAAAUGCUUAGAUAUCACGAAGAACUCCGAUUGCGAAGGCAGCUCACUGGACUGCAACUGACACUGAGGCUCGAAAGUGUGGGUAUCAAACAGGAUUAGAUACCCCAGUAGUC